This 1366-nucleotide long non-coding RNA is filed under the name Fukomys damarensis (Damara mole-rat). Its description in RNAcentral is "lncRNA (ENSFDAG00000029098.1)". The record is from RNAcentral. Lineage: Eukaryota; Metazoa; Chordata; Mammalia; Rodentia; Bathyergidae.
AGCGGGGCUGGGCGGGGCUCGGGGAUCCCUGGCACCUCGCGGAUGGCUGCGCGGCGGGAGGGAAGGAAGUAGCCGUCCGUCCGCGCCUUUGUCCCACGGGCCCUGGUGGCUUCCUGACCCUCUUGGGGCACAGAGCCCACUGGAAAUCCUGUCUCUUCUGCCUGAGCGCAGCGGCCGCUUCCCCUCUCUUGAUCUUGGCAGUACCUGGUUAGGAGGCCUGAGACGCUUUGCCAGACUUGGGGCUGGGCUGAGCGUUUAAACCAAGUCGGGGCUCUGGGGACUGAUCUGAGGGGCACAGCCCCGCCCACGUGCCUGUCAGGCCACCGGGGGACGGGGGCAGGCGCUCCGUGCCACCAGUGUCCAAGUGCAGCUACCAGGUAGAGACGAGUGCCUGUCUUGACCUCGUCGUGACCUGCGGCUGUGUCACCCUGGGGGGGUCCCAGCCCCCUGAGCGUCCCGUGGGGAGCCAGGAUUGGCCUCAGACCGGCCUGGCCCUGACUGGCCAACGAACUGUCCUGCAGGCCAGCGGAGCCUGCACCACCGCGGAGAUGCCCUGGAGACGCUGGUCCUCCUGAACCCGUCAGACAAGUCCCUGUGUGAUGAGCUCCGGAACCUUCUGCUGGUCCCUGCCCCUCAUAAGCUGCUGGUGCUGGCCGGGCCCUGCCUGGAGGAGACCGGGGAGCUGCUGCUGCAGACGGGUGGCUUCUCGUUCCACCACUUUCUGCAGGUCCUGGACGAGAGGGAGGUGAGCUGCCCACCCCCAGCGCAGUGCUGCCGCCCUCCGUGGCCCGGGUCAGGGACCAGUGCCACUUUCCAGGGAGGGGCGUGUACGGCAGGUUUGGUGGCUGCACUGUCACCCCAGCAGUCUGGGAGAAGGGGCAGGAGCCCUGCCCGGGCAAACGAGCAGAGUAGUGAGCAGAGAGCCUGGCUCAUAGUAACAAAAAAGGCAGAGGAUGUGGCUCCUAGGGUAGGCUGGGUUCAGUCCUCAAACAAACAGCUGCAGAUAAAUAAACGGCUUCCACAGUGGGAGGCUGGUGGUGCGGCCACCACCCUGCGCCUCAGCAGGCGUCUCUGAGGCCAGAAGGGGGGCCCAGGUUCCAGCUCCCAGAUGAGAUGGAGCCGCGUGGCGUGGGGCACAUGGAUGAAGAAAGCAGGACUGGGUCAGGGUCCUGGAGGGUGUGGUCAGACAGAAGAGCAAGCUCAAAGGCCCUGGGGCCAGGAGAGGAUGCCAGGGCCCAAGGGUGGUCCCGGGCAGGCCUGGGCUGUGCCCAGAGAGGAGCAGGAAGGGGUGUUCUGGCUGGGCUUUCCGGCUCCAGAAGCCCUUUCCUGCUCCGCGCCGCAGAUCCAGGACCUGUUGGGCCACACC